RNAcentral lists this ribosomal RNA (393 nucleotides) under uncultured bacterium. Its description in RNAcentral is "partial 16S ribosomal RNA". It matches the Rfam family "Bacterial small subunit ribosomal RNA", at positions 523 to 918 of the family's 1533-position model. The record is from RNAcentral.
AUACGGAGGAUCCGAGCGUUAUCCGGAUUUAUUGGGUUUAAAGGGAGCGUAGGUGGAUUGUUAAGUCAGUUGUGAAAGUUUGCGGCUCAACCGUAAAAUUGCAGUUGAAACUGGCAGUCUUGAGUACAGUAGAGGUGGGCGGAAUUCGUGGUGUAGCGGUGAAAUGCUUAGAUAUCACGAAGAACUCCGAUUGCGAAGUCAGCUCACUAGUCUGUUACUGACACUGAUGCUCGAAAGUGUGGGUAUCAAACAGGAUUAGAUACCCUGGUAGUCCACACAGUAAACGAUGAAUACUCGCUGUUUGCGAUAUACAGUAAGCGGCCAAGCGAAAGCAUUAAGUAUUCCACCUGGGGAGUACGCCGGCAACGGUGAAACUCAAAUGAAUUGACGGGG